RNAcentral lists this ribosomal RNA (275 nucleotides) under uncultured soil bacterium. Its description in RNAcentral is "partial 16S ribosomal RNA". It matches the Rfam family "Bacterial small subunit ribosomal RNA", at positions 26 to 282 of the family's 1533-position model. The record is from RNAcentral.
AGAAUCAACGCUGGCGGCGUGCCUCAGACAUGCAAGUCGAACGCGAAAGUCCCCUUCGGGGGGCAAGUAGAGUGGCGCACGGGUGAGUAACACGUAGGUAAUCUACCUUCGGAAUGGGGAAUAACAAUCGGAAACGGUUGCUAAUACCGCAUAAAUGCAGCGGCACCUAAUGGUGACAGUUGUUAAAGCGGGGGAUCGAAAGACCUCGCGUCUGAAGAGGAGCCUGCGGCGGAUUAGCUAGUUGGUAAGGUAACGGCUUACCAAGGCGACGAUCC